This 380-nucleotide unclassified non-coding RNA is filed under the name Hevea brasiliensis (rubber tree). Lineage: Eukaryota; Viridiplantae; Streptophyta; Magnoliopsida; Malpighiales; Euphorbiaceae. The record is from RNAcentral.
CACUAAUUCUGCUCAAAGGAUUGACCAGGUUUAUUUUGAUUUGUUGUUGUGGUGGGGGAGGUUCUGUAGGUUUUAUACUCGCCCAUGUAUGCCUGUGGUUCUAAAUUGAAAGUUUGUGUCCACUGGAACUCAAUUAAGGGAUAAACAUGAGUGGUGUACACAAGAAUACUAGCAUCUGUGAUGAUGAGAGUGCUCACUAUAGAUCAUUUGCAAGGCAAGGACCAAAUGGGAAUUCUGAUUUUCUUGAUCACGAAAUUGCUCAGCUCACAAAACUAAGAUCAGCACCCAAUUUUUAAGUAAGAAUGUACCUGGCAAGUUCAGGCUACCAGUCUCAACUGUGAAAAUGUUGGUUGGUCGAGAGUGUAAUUAUUCUGGGAGGG